GAUCCUGGCUCAGGAUGAACGCUAGCUACAGGCUUAACACAUGCAAGUCGAGGGGAAACGACAUCGAAAGCUUGCUUUUGAUUGGCGUCGACCGGCGCACGGGUGAGUAACGCGUAGUCCAACCUGCCCACCACUUGGGGGAUAACCUUGCGAAAGUAAGACUAAUACCCAAUGAUAUCUCUAGAAGACAUCUGAAAGAAAUUAAAGAUUCAUCGGUGAUGGAUGGGGAUGCGUCUGAUUAG
RNAcentral lists this ribosomal RNA (242 nucleotides) under uncultured bacterium. RNAcentral describes it as "partial 16S ribosomal RNA". It matches the Rfam family "Bacterial small subunit ribosomal RNA", at positions 15 to 244 of the family's 1533-position model. The record is from RNAcentral.